RNAcentral lists this unclassified non-coding RNA (1766 nucleotides) under uncultured fungus. Its description in RNAcentral is "sequence contains 18S rRNA gene, ITS1, 5.8S rRNA gene, ITS2, 28S rRNA gene". The stretch from base 645 to 1766 matches the Rfam family "Eukaryotic large subunit ribosomal RNA", at positions 1 to 961 of the family's 3401-position model. Lineage: Eukaryota; Fungi. The record is from RNAcentral.
GGAGGGAUCAUUACAACGUAUCCAACGUAUAAACCUUUGUGAACUUAGUUUGUUAAAAACCCUCUGACGGAUUUUGCGAUUCAUUUUGUAAAAUCCCAAUGAGCUUUUACCACACUUAUUAACCUUUUGUAACUUUAUCUAUUGUAACGUAUGACAAAAUAAAAGAGCUGUCGAAAGACAGAGUUCUGUAUUUUAUCAUUUCUUAAUAAAAUAAGAAAUUAUACGCACAACUCUUAGCAACGGAUAUCUAGGCUCUCGUAUCGAUGAAGAACGCAGCGAAAUGCGAUACGUAAUGCGAAUUGCAGAAUUCAGUGAAUCAUCAAAUCUUUGAACGCAGCUUGCGCCCUUGGGAAUCCCUGGGGGCAUACGUUUCUGAGUAUCGUUUCAACUCUCUACCCGCGGCGUGCGCUUGCGUACAAUGCAUACGGUAGGAUUUGGGUCAUUGGUCUUCACGGGCUAAUGAUCUUAAGCGAAUACAAUUCUUGAAUCGCUCCGUGUUUCUUCUUCGGAAGAGGCGCUGUCGAUGUCUGAUACUUGACUCCGGUCAAAUUAUUAUCGCAUUGACAGUUAGGAAUGUAUUGAAGGAUUUAUACAAGGAAUCAAAAUUGAAUAAUACACUUCGGUGUUGCAUUCUUUUUUAAUCUUGAUCUCAGAUAAGGUAAGAGAACCCGCCGAAUUUAAGCAUAUUAUUAAGCGGAGGAAAAGAAACUAACAAGGAUUCCCCUAGUAACGGCGAGUGAAGCGGGAAGAGCUCAAAGUUAAAAUCGGGGUUCUGAGAGGAGCUUCCGAAUUGUAAUCUAGAGACACUUUUUCAGCUUCGACCCGGGUAUAAAUCUUUUGAAACGAGGUGUCAUAGAGGGUGAGAAUCCCGUCUUUGAUCCGGAGUUCGGGGCGUACGAAGGGUGUUCCAAGAGUCGAAUAGCUUGGGAAUGCUGUUCUAAAUGGGUGGUAAAUUUCAUCUAAAGCUAAAUAUCGACGAGAGACCGAUAGCGAACAAGUACCGUGAGGGAAAGAUGAAAAGAACUUUGAAAAGAGAGUUAAAAAGUACUUGAAAUUGUUAAGAAGGAAGCACUGGAAACCAGUUGUGCUGGCUUUACAUAGACACUACGUUGGUGAGAGGGCAAAUCGACACCUCAAAAGGUCGACCAAACUUCAAAGCUAGCGUAGUGUUCUCGUAAGGUUGGUGAGUCAGGAUCGGUUCUGUUCACGGAAGAAAGCCAACGGAAGGUAGUCCGCUCUCAGCGAUGGGAGUAGAAACUUAUAGCCGUUGGCCAACCCGGGGAUGGGACCGAGGUACAUCAACAAUACGUUCCGCAAGGCUGCAGGUGGGGGUCCCUUGCUGGCGGUGGGUUUGAAGAGCAAAGCUCUGCAGAGCUCACCGUUGGUUACUGGGCUUUCACUUGACCACGUAUUCGAGAUCUUGACGAAAUGGUUUUCAUUGACCCGUCUUGAAACACGGACCAAGGAGUCUAACAUAUAUGCGAGUAUUUGGGUGUGAAAACCCUGAUGCGCAAUGAAAGUGAAGCCAGACUUUUGUUUGGUGAGGUAGGAACCGCAAGGGGCACUAUCGACCGAUCGUUCAUUUAUGAAAGAUUUGAGUAAGAGCAUAUCUGUUGGGACCCGAAAGAUGGUGAACUAUGCCUGAUCAGGGUGAAGCCAGGGGAAACUCUGGUGGAGGCUCGUAGCGAUACUGACGUGCAAAUCGUUCGUCUGAAUUGGGUAUAGGGGCGAAAGACUAAUCGAACCAUCUAGUAGCUGGUUCCCGC